CCCCUAGAUGUUCUGGGCCGCACGCGCGCUACACUGAACAGUUCAACAAGUCUUAACCUUGGCCGAUAGGUCUGGGUAAUCUUUGAACGCUGUUCGUGAUUGGGAUAGACCUUUGCAAUUAUGGGUCUUCAACGAGGAAUUCCUAGUAAACGCAAGUCAUCAGCUUGCAUUGAUUGCGUCCCUGCCCUUUGUACACACCGCCCGUCGCACCUACCGAUUGAAUGGUCCGGUGAAAUCUCGGGACGGCGGCUUGGUCGCUUGCGUCCGACUGCUGAAACUUGAUUAAACCAUAUCAUUUAGAGGAAGGUGAANUCGUANCA
RNAcentral lists this ribosomal RNA (320 nucleotides) under uncultured eukaryote. RNAcentral describes it as "partial 18S ribosomal RNA". It matches the Rfam family "Eukaryotic small subunit ribosomal RNA", at positions 1470 to 1796 of the family's 1831-position model. The record is from RNAcentral.